Molecule: signal recognition particle RNA, 148 nt
Filed under: Gorilla gorilla gorilla (western lowland gorilla)
Lineage: Eukaryota; Metazoa; Chordata; Mammalia; Primates; Hominidae
Description: Metazoan signal recognition particle RNA
Rfam family: Metazoan signal recognition particle RNA
About the family: The signal recognition particle (SRP) is a universally conserved ribonucleoprotein. It is involved in the co-translational targeting of proteins to membranes. The eukaryotic SRP consists of a 300-nucleotide 7S RNA and six proteins: SRPs 72, 68, 54, 19, 14, and 9.
Source: Rfam by way of RNAcentral
GCCGGGCGUGGUUGCGCGUGCCUGUAAUCCCAGCUACUCGGGAGGCUGAGGCAGGAGAAUCACUUGAACCCGGGAGGUGGAGCUUGCAGUGAGCCGAGAUCGCGCCACUGCACUCCAGCCUGGGCAACAAAGUGAGAUUCUGUCUCAA